CCUUUUGGUCAAGCGGUCAAGCUUCAGUUGUGAUGUGAAGCUCACAAUUCCUAUUUUAUCGUUUUCAAGUUUUGAGUGAGGUUUCAUUCAAUGAGAGAUGUUCUCUUUUGGGAAUUUUUCUAUACCUUUUUUGAAGCAGCCAAGUUUAUUUUUUGAAAUAGUAGUUGUGUGCAUGUUGUUGGAUGGUAAUUGGAUGGAAAGAGGGUGCUGUUGUGAAAAAUCUGAUUAUAUGAAUGAGUUAAAUACAUUAGUUAUACAUUGAUGUUGAUUGUAUUUUGUAAAAUGUGCAGGAUAUAUUGAGAUGGAUAGAGAAGUUAAUCAAGAGGGUCAAGUUAGAGUUAGGCAUCGAGUACAAACCCAACCGAUAGUUGAAUUAAAUAGUUCCCUAUCAUCCUUUCAAAAGAAAAGAAUAAAGUCCACACUCUUUAAAUUUUUAGUUGAUUUAAUUAACAAUGUCUAUCUAGUUUUUGUUGUUGCUGCAUCGGCAUCCAUCACCAUGUCCAUGUAUAUGUUUGUUGUUGUUACUUGGACAACUUGUUUUAAAUGUAAAUAUAUGAACAGACC
Vigna radiata var. radiata (mung bean) is the source of this 564-nucleotide long non-coding RNA. RefSeq lists it as uncharacterized. The transcript has 2 exons. Lineage: Eukaryota; Viridiplantae; Streptophyta; Magnoliopsida; Fabales; Fabaceae. The record is from RefSeq and is a predicted model, not a curated record.